GAUGAACGCUGACAGAAUGCUUAACACAUGCAAGUCAACUUGAACUUCGGUUUGGGUGGCGGACGGGUGAGUAACGCGUAAAGAACUUGCCUCACAGUUAGGGACAACAUUUGGAAACGAAUGCUAAUACCUGAUAUUAUGAUUUUAGGGCAUCCUAGAAUUAUGAAAGCUAUAUGCGCUGUGAGAGAGCUUUGCGUCCCAUUAGCUAGUUGGAGAGGUAACGGCUCACCAAGGCGAUGAUGGGUAGCCGGCCUGAGAGGGUGAACGGCCACAAGGGGACUGAGACACGGCCCUUACUCCUACGGGAGGCAGCAGUGGGGAAUAUUGGACAAUGGACCAAGAGUCUGAUCCAGCAAUUCUGUGUGCACGAUGAAGUUUUUCGGAAUGUAAAGUGCUUUCAGUUGGGAAGAAAAAAAUGACGGUACCAACAGAAGAAGUGACGGCUAAAUACGUGCCAGCAGCCGCGGUAAUACGUAUGUCACAAGCGUUAUCCGGAUUUAUUGGGCGUAAAGCGCGUCUAGGUGGUUAUGUAAGUCUGAUGUGAAAAUGCAGGGCUCAACUCUGUAUUGCGUUGGAAACUGUGUAACUAGAGUACUGGAGAGGUAAGCGGAACUACAAGUGUAGAGGUGAAAUUCGUAGAUAUUUGUAGGAAUGCCGAUGGGGAAGCCAGCUUACUGGACAGAUACUGACGCUAAAGCGCGAAAGCGUGGGUAGCAAACAGG
RNAcentral lists this ribosomal RNA (722 nucleotides) under uncultured Fusobacterium sp. RNAcentral describes it as "bacterial SSU rRNA". It matches the Rfam family "Bacterial small subunit ribosomal RNA", at positions 28 to 776 of the family's 1533-position model. The record is from RNAcentral. Lineage: Bacteria; Fusobacteriati; Fusobacteriota; Fusobacteriia; Fusobacteriales; Fusobacteriaceae.